GCCGGUGUAGCUCAGCUGGUAGAGGACGUCAUUCGUAAUGAUGGGGUCGGGGGUUCGAGUCCCUUCAGCGGCACCA
Molecule: transfer RNA, 76 nt
Filed under: Paracoccaceae bacterium
Lineage: Bacteria; Pseudomonadati; Pseudomonadota; Alphaproteobacteria; Rhodobacterales; Paracoccaceae
Description: Rhodobacteraceae bacterium (activated sludge metagenome) tRNA-Thr
Rfam family: tRNA
About the family: Transfer RNA (tRNA) molecules are approximately 80 nucleotides in length.
Source: RNAcentral